Molecule: long non-coding RNA, 458 nt
Filed under: Mus caroli (Ryukyu mouse)
Lineage: Eukaryota; Metazoa; Chordata; Mammalia; Rodentia; Muridae
Description: leucine rich repeat containing 75A, opposite strand 2 (MGP_CAROLIEiJ_G0002630.1)
Source: RNAcentral
GGACUCCCUGUAGGGUCCUGCUGACCGGUACCUUCCCUGGCAUCUUCCCCAGUACCUGGCCCCUCACCCAGCUCAAGGAUGGUUGAGUUGAAGACAGCAGGUUGGUGAGAGGGCUUCUGGAGCAUCAGCUGCUGGAGGCUCGAUGCUCUCAGCUUCUCCCUCUCCCUGCCAUCUGCUGCCCCUGGCCUUGUUCUGGAGCCCAGACCACUCGGCCUGGUGGUAGGUGUGUCCCCAACCUACCACACCCAUUGGUGAGCUACUGGUUCCAAGCAAGCCCUGAGUCUCCUACACUGAGGACAGUUUCGACUUGCUGCAAAAGUGUUUACACUGUCAGCUCAAAAGUCACAGGCAGCCUUACCAAAGCAGCUCCUUUUGGGCCCUCUUGAAGCUGGGAGAUGAAUUCAUUUUGUUCCUUGGAAAUUGAAGGUAAAACUCAAACACGAGAUUCAGCUGCCUCG